UGGCCUAUUAGCUCAGUUGGUCAGAACGUCGUGCUAAUAAUGCGAUGGUCGCAGGUUCGAAACCUGUUGGCCCAU
RNAcentral lists this transfer RNA (75 nucleotides) under Zingiber officinale. RNAcentral's name for it is "tRNA-Ile". It matches the Rfam family "tRNA". From Rfam's summary of the family: Transfer RNA (tRNA) molecules are approximately 80 nucleotides in length. Their secondary structure includes four short double-helical elements and three loops (D, anti-codon, and T loops). The record is from RNAcentral. Lineage: Eukaryota; Viridiplantae; Streptophyta; Magnoliopsida; Zingiberales; Zingiberaceae.